UUUAACAUACCUAAAAUUUGGUUUUGCACGACUCAAGCAUUUAACCACCAGGAACUAGGACGAUGAGCCUAUCACGACAAGCUUUCACCACUGGAACUACACUUGAUUUCGUCGGUACUCAAUUUUUGAGAAUUUUUUGGUUGCGUGAGGUUAGAAGCCCUCCCGAACCUUCAAGUUUUUUUUUUUUUUUUUUCCCAAAUCCCCCUUUACCGUCUAUCCCUCAAUGGAUAUUUAUAGCAGAUUUUCGGCAUAGUAUUUGGGGGGAAACCCAUAAGAAAUUUAGGAUGAAGGAUUUGAAAUUCAAACUAGAAUUAAUCUUGACCCUCCGCGUUGAAUCUGAUCGAACGAUAUUGAGCGAAAUCCGGAUUAGCCCGUUGGAGAUGAUCUACCGUUGUUGACUUUUCGUUCUGGAUUUUACCGUGGUUGAGUUGAAAAUGGGUGUGUUUGGAGUUGCUUGCAGCUGUAAGGUUGGUGGAUAUAAGGGAAAGGAAGGGGAAAUAAGGUUGUGGGCCAGAUCAGGGGAUAUUUGGGCAGGUUGGUGUGUUAUUUGGGCCUGGGGGUUUGCUGAAAAAUGAAAAGGGAAAAUGGGCCAGCUGAAUGGUUGGCCCAAAAAGAAUAGGAAGGUUAUUUUGUAGUAAUGAAAUGGGCAUAAUUGGAUAAAUUCAAAUAAAAUUGAGAUGAAAUUAUCUUUCAAUUAAUUUAGCAAAUUUCUCAAAUUUAAUAAUUUUAAAAAAUAAAUAUAAUGAAACACAAUUUUAUUUUAUUUCUCUUUUUUUUUAAAUAAUUGUAAUAAUAUCAAUAAUAAUAAAUAAAAAUUAAGAAACUAAUUAUGUCAUCAAUUUUUAUUUUUAAUCAAUUAUAAAAAAAAUAGAAUAUUUACAAUUUAAUCAAAUUUUUCACUCAGAAUAAGUUUUAAAGAAAUUUCUUUAACUGAUAAUUACUAAAUAUAUUAUUUUAACCUAAAUUCAAAAGGUAAGGUCAAAAUUUAUUUCAAAAUAACUUAAAAUAAAUAAUUUAAAACUAUUUAAAAUUUAAGAAAUUCAAGAAUUGAUUUGAAAUGUGGAGGGAAAAAAUUAGGUGUCAACACCACUCGUAUGAUAUGGGUACGAGUGAGGGGUCCAAAUCGUACCCACCUUCGAAAUUUUUUACAGUUUAAGUUGGGAGUAUUCUGGACGUUUCCCUUCUUAACUUCUUUUGACUCCACAACUUAAAAUAGUCUUGGGACUUUAUUAACCUACUAUUCUCAAAUCAAACACUCUAAUCUCUCUCAAUACUCUUAGUUUAAAAAGAGGCUAAGGUUUCUUCAAAGUGAUCAAUUAAGGCUCUCAAGGGUGGUUUCUCUUCGUCUUCUUUGGUAUCUAAGUCAUGUUACUCAUCCCUCAUUGUUAGUUCAAACUAAAAACAUGUUUUACUUAAUGGUUUUCAUGGCAUUAUUGUGGGUUUGUAUUGGUUUUGAAAUAUAGGUUGGGGGUUUUGGUUACUAAUGGUUGGAUGAUGUUUUCCCCAUAUUCUAUUUAUAGUUUUCAUGUUAUAAUGUUGGUUUGAACAUGUGGUUGCAUGGGAAUGACUAAUUGGUUCUUGGUUUUGGUUUUGGAAACUAUUUUCCCUCAACAUGUUUGUUAAAAUGCCAAUGAGAAUGUUUUUGUCAUAAAGUUUGACUUUUAUUAAAAAUCUUACAUGGCAUAAUAUGAUAAUGGAACCCUAAAUGGUUUAAUUGAAUUAAAUGAUUUGGCAAGGCCUUGGUGGCCAUGGUUUUGAUUGAUUGAAAAUUUUAUGGGGUACAUGGGAAUCCACUAAGUAUUGGCUAAUGAUAUUGUUUGCAAGCUAUAGUCGGUAUGACGAUACCACUUCAUAAUGCCUUGUAAUAAACUCGAAAAUUCGUGGUUUGGUUAAGUUCUAAAAACUUUAAUUGGAAAAUAAUGGCGGCUUGUGAUAGCUAGCCGUGAAGGUGUGAGUCCAAUGAACGGACAUUGGAAACUCAUGUUUGGCGACAUGAGGGUUGGGCAUGGUGACCAUAUACUUGUGGGGUACACAAAAAUCCCCUAAGUUACAUCUGUAUAUAAGUAUCAUGGAGGGCGAACGGUACACAAAAAUCCUCAGCCCCUAUGAUAUCUCCAGUUCGUGCAGCUACACGCACUAGGGACCGUUCAGGGGGUAACACUGGACCCAUAUAGCCCGUGUGUGGUCAUAGGAUGGUCAAGCUACACAACCCAGGUUAAAGUUUUAAAUGCAUGCUAAACCCGAUUCCCUUUCCCAUCACACAUACACACAGAUAUAUAUGUAUGUAUGUAUGUAUGUAUGCAUAUAUGUAUGAAUGUGAAUGAACUUGGUUAUUUACCUAGUUUUAUAUAUUAGCAUUAUUUUAUCCUUAUUUCUUAGUACAUGCUAGCGUUCACCUGCUAACUCGUCUUCGGACGCUGUAUCCCCAUGUAAUACAGGAACCGUCAUACUACUCCUCAUAUACAGUGAUAUUGGAUUAGGGGACAACAUUCAUUUUAGACUCAAGUGGUGGGUUUUUAUACUUCGAAAGACUUCAUUUCAUGCUAUGGAUAUAUUUUCAUACUUUUGUUUAUUUCUUGGACUUUGAUUUUGGCUAUGGUCGGGGGCAUGUCCUGACCAAAUAUUCUUUAUUUUUUAUUAGAUGCUUUGUGUGUCUACUAUGGGCAUAGGCAGUGUUGGUAUUAGUAUCAACCUUGGCAUUGGUAUUGGUAUUGGUAUUGGGCCUGAUACCGGUUGGACGUUCGGUUGGAUGUUUGGAUGGUUGUGGUUAUGGAAUUGUCUUUGAUUAUUUAUUAUUCUAACUUCUUAUAUGUUCGGAAUUCAUCUGACAUAGGGUACAGGGCGUUUAUGGUUGGGUAUUGGGGUGGUCUCUGAUCUCGAUCGGGUUUGAGGCACCCGACACGACUAGGCCCUGGUUUGGGUCAUGUCAGUUUUAUUAUGUUUUGGAGAUUUAUCCAUAUUUUUGUUAAACAACUAGUGAAAUGCACAAUUGUAGAUUGAUAGUUGAGUUGUACAUUGCAGUUAGUUAGAAUCAGUCAGAGUUAGUUGAUUAGUUAGUCUAACUUAAUUAACAACAUUUGUG
This 3082-nucleotide long non-coding RNA is filed under the name Capsicum annuum. Its description in RNAcentral is "long non-coding RNA (CANN_LNC010148)". The record is from RNAcentral. Lineage: Eukaryota; Viridiplantae; Streptophyta; Magnoliopsida; Solanales; Solanaceae.